RNAcentral lists this ribosomal RNA (497 nucleotides) under uncultured bacterium. Its description in RNAcentral is "partial 16S ribosomal RNA". It matches the Rfam family "Bacterial small subunit ribosomal RNA", at positions 28 to 507 of the family's 1533-position model. The record is from RNAcentral.
GAUGAACGCUGGCGGCGUGCCUAAUACAUGCAAGUCGAGCGAACAGACGAGGAGCUUGCUCCUCUGACGUUAGCCGCGGACGGGUGAGUAACACGUGGAUAACCUACCUAUAAGACUGGGAUAACUUCGGGAAACCGGAGCUAAUACCGGAUAAUAUAUUGAACCGCAUGGUUCAAUAGUGAAAGACGGUUUUGCUGUCACUUAUAGAUGGAUCCGCGCCGCAUUAGCUAGUUGGUAAGGUAACGGCUUACCAAGGCGACGAUGCGUAGCCGACCUGAGAGGGUGAUCGGCCACACUGGAACUGAGACACGGUCCAGACUCCUACGGGAGGCAGCAGUAGGGAAUCUUCCGCAAUGGGCGAAAGCCUGACGGAGCAACGCCGCGUGAGUGAUGAAGGUCUUCGGAUCGUAAAACUCUGUUAUUAGGGAAGAACAAAUGUGUAAGUAACUAUGCACGUCUUGACGGUACCUAAUCAGAAAGCCACGGCUAACUACGUG